UCACCGAUUUCGACGAUUGGGUCACAGAUUUCGGCGUUUGGCUCACCAAUUACGACGUUCAAACCAAUUUCGACGUUUCCACCAAACCCCAACGACGACAGUGCACUCCGGCGGGUCUUUAACUACCCGUUCCUGCCGCCCCCGGUCGAUAGCGGAAUCCUGCCACGCGACUCCCGGGAAUAUCACCUGCACGGCGAACCAGGAGAGUACCUGAGCCGAACUGCAAUUGGAGCUUGUGUGAAUUGAGUGCUCGACCCCACCUAUAUACGUAAAUUUUUUUAUUCUACCUCACCGGGUUAAUUAAUUUAAUAAAUUUUUUUUGUUCAUGGUACCCUGGUUUUAUUUACUUCCUCAAUAGACCAGGGGAACCGUGACACUGGCGCCCAACAUGGUU
Long non-coding RNA from Melitaea cinxia (Glanville fritillary), 394 nucleotides. RefSeq lists it as uncharacterized. Lineage: Eukaryota; Metazoa; Arthropoda; Insecta; Lepidoptera; Nymphalidae. The record is from RefSeq and is a predicted model, not a curated record. The transcript has 4 exons.